RNAcentral lists this ribosomal RNA (252 nucleotides) under uncultured bacterium. Its description in RNAcentral is "partial 16S ribosomal RNA". It matches the Rfam family "Bacterial small subunit ribosomal RNA", at positions 524 to 776 of the family's 1533-position model. The record is from RNAcentral.
UACGAAGGGGGCUAGCGUUGCUCGGAAUUACUGGGCGUAAAGCGCGCGCAGGCGGUUCAUUAAGUUGGGUGUUUAAGCCCGGGGCUCAACCCCGGUUCGCAUCCAAAACUGGUUGACUUGAGUGUAGGAGAGGAAAGUGGAAUUCCACGUGUAGCGGUGAAAUGCGUAGAGAUGCGGAGGAACACCGAUGGCGAAGGCAGCCCCCUGGGCUAACACUGACGCUCAGGCACGAAAGCGUGGGGAGCAAACAGG